Molecule: long non-coding RNA, 1987 nt
Organism: Alosa sapidissima (American shad)
Lineage: Eukaryota; Metazoa; Chordata; Actinopteri; Clupeiformes; Clupeidae
Exons: 3
Source: RefSeq, a predicted model, not a curated record
CUUGAUGGUAAACACUAUAACCGUGCAGUCAGGGUCCACAAGUACAUCUCAGAAGCACUAAUGAGACUUGCAUGGGAAGAGUUCACACCCUGGGUUGAGAAAAAUGCUCCAGAGAGGAGUAGGAUGAUCAAAUCAUUCUUGGAAGAUGUGAAAGACAUGGCCAGUGACCUGAACCAAGAAAAGAUGACCAAUCUGCUGCAAAGUCCACUCUCCGCUGAGCUGAUAACCCUGUGGACAGACUUUCUAGAACACCUCCGUCACAACACUGGAGAGCUCUCUGGAUUCUGGAUGUCAUCAUUGACAUGGUAGAGGAUGUAGUACUUGGCCUUCUGCGUGCGUCUCGUGAGGGGGACUGGGAGUUGCACCUCCACGCUAUAAGAACCAUGAUCCCAUGGUGCUUUGCCUACGAUAAGAUGAAUUAUGCCAGGUACCUGUCCCCUUACUUUGCUCAGAUGACCAACCUCCAAAAGAAGUAUCCUUCUGUGUAUGAGGCCUUCAAGGCAGGCCAGUUCUCAGUGCAGCUGUCAAAUAACAACACAUUUGGGAGGAUUCCUGUAGAUCAGGCUAUUGAAGUCACAGUGAAUAAAGACACACAGACUCCUGGAGGCACAUCACGGUUUAGCCUGAAAGCUGGAGCGGUCAGGCGUUACUACCUAACAGCAGUGCAUUCCUAGGACAGUUAAGGGAGAUGCUACAAGGUAACAAAUCACAGCUUUCUCAUUCAGAGCUACAGUCACCAAGAAUCCAGAAAGAUGAGGAAGCAGUUUCAGCAGUGGUUAGCCUCAUACAAGGAUGGAUAAACCCAUUUGACGAGAAGCGGGACCUCAUUAGCAUCUCUACGGCAAAGACAGCUCCCAAAGACAUUCCUCCGACCUGAUGAGAGCAUAUGAGAUUGGUGAGCAAUGCUAUGCAAACUUUAAGGAUGAGAGACUAGACAAAGAAACACCAGCAAAGAAAUUCCACGACCCAAUGAAAACCAACAAGCUGAAAACAUUCAGUGAUAUGUGUAAGAAGAGAGAAGUGAAAUCAAAUGGAAGGGCAGUCAUCUUGAAAGCAGACAGGUCUCUGUUAUAGGACGCAUCAUAGUGAUGGCACAAGCACGUAGUCUUAACAUGGAGGAUAUCCUUUCUCAUCCUCUUGGUCCAUUGCCUUGGGCACUCUCCACACCAGAUGGACUGCUGAGAAAAACAAACAAAGCUACUUUGGCAACAGCCUUGCAGAAAAAUGUAGCACUACAGGAGAAACACCCAGAAAACAGUGGUUGAUGGUAUGAACUUAGUCCAACGAGUGAACGGUGAUGAGGUGACUUUCAGAGAUGUUGCCACAACAAUCCUGGGUAUGGCUCUGAGGGAAGGUAGUCAGAGUAGAAGAAUAGAUGUUGUGUUCGACACAUACAAGCAGAACUCAAUCAAAAAUAGUGAAAGAUCUCUAAGGGGUGAAGAGACUGGUCAUGAGUUGCAGGAUAUCACAAGCACACAAAUGGUGAGGCAGUGGAGGAGCUUCCUGACCAAAGUGAAUAACAAAACCAGUCUCAUUAGCUUCAUAGUGAAUGAAUGGAGGAAGCCAGAAUACAGAGAAAAGCUACAGAAGAAGAUUCUAUAUGCAACUGUGAUUGACAAAUGUUACAGAAUCACAUCAAGACAGUGAGGAGAUGUCAACUCUUCAAUGUCAACAAGAAGAAGCAGAUGGACGACUACUUCUCCAUGCCGCCCAUGCUGCAAGAGAGGGAUACCAAUCCAUAGUUAUCUGUUCAGAAGACACAGAUGUCUUUAUCAUGUCUUUAGCAUUCUGUGACAAGAUUGAGGCCUCAUUAUUCCUGAAGUGUGGCACAAGGACCCGUACAAGGCUGGUAGCUAUCAGAAAGGUUGCAGCCACUGUUGGCAUGGACACUUGUAGGGCUCUCAUUGGGUUGCAUGCCUACACAGGAUGUGACACUGUAAGCGCUUUUGCAGGCAAAGGGAAGACAAGGGCACUUACACUCCUGAUG